GAUCCUGGCUCAGAAUCAACGCUGGCGGCGUGCCUCAGACAUGCAAGUCGAACGAUUAAAGCUUCCUUCGGGAAGUGCAUAAAGUGGCGCACGGGUGAGUAACACGUAAGUAAUCUACCCUCGAGUGGGGAAUAACGUUCGGAAACGGACGCUAAUACCGCAUAAUGCAGCGGCACCGCAAGGUGACAGUUGUUAAAGAUUUAUUGCUUGAGGAGGAGCUUGCGGCAGAUUAGCUAGUUGGUAAGGUAAUGGCUUACCAAGGCUACGAUCUGUAUCCGGUCUAAGAGGACGGUCGGACACACUGACACUGAAUAACGGGUCAGACUCCUACGGGAGGCAGCAG
RNAcentral lists this ribosomal RNA (343 nucleotides) under Acidobacteria bacterium enrichment culture clone C39_08_H22. Its description in RNAcentral is "bacterial SSU rRNA". It matches the Rfam family "Bacterial small subunit ribosomal RNA", at positions 15 to 354 of the family's 1533-position model. Lineage: Bacteria; Pseudomonadati; Acidobacteriota. The record is from RNAcentral.